RNAcentral lists this ribosomal RNA (1544 nucleotides) under Borrelia miyamotoi. Its description in RNAcentral is "bacterial SSU rRNA". It matches the Rfam family "Bacterial small subunit ribosomal RNA". Lineage: Bacteria; Pseudomonadati; Spirochaetota; Spirochaetia; Spirochaetales; Borreliaceae. The record is from RNAcentral.
AAAAAUAACGAAGAGUUUGAUCCUGGCUUAGAACUAACGCUGGCAGUGCGUCUUAAGCAUGCAAGUCAGACGGAAUGUAGUAAUACAUUCAGUGGCGAACGGGUGAGUAACGCGUGGAUAAUCUACCUACGAGAUGGGGAUAACUAUUAGAAAUAGUAGCUAAUACCGAAUAAAGUCAAUUAAGAUGUUAGUUGAUGAAAGGAAGCCUUUAAAGCUUCGCUUGUAGAUGAGUCUGCGUCUUAUUAGCUAGUUGGUGGGAUAAGAGCCUACCAAGGCUAUGAUAAGUAACCGGCCUGAGAGGGUGAUCGGUCACACUGGAACUGAGAUACGGUCCAGACUCCUACGGGAGGCAGCAGCUAAGAAUCUUCCGCAAUGGGCGAAAGCCUGACGGAGCGACACUGCGUGAACGAAGAAGGUCGAAAGAUUGUAAAGUUCUUUUAUAAGUGAGGAAUAAGCUUUGUAGGAAAUGACAAAGCGAUGACGUUAAUUUAUGAAUAAGCCCCGGCUAAUUACGUGCCAGCAGCCGCGGUAAUACGUAAGGGGCGAGCGUUGUUCGGGAUCAUUGGGCGUAAAGGGUGAGUAGGCGGAUAUGCAAGUCUAUGUGUAAAAUACCACAGCUCAACUGUGGAACUAUGCUGGAAACUGCAUGACUAGAGUCUGAUAGGGGAAGUUAGAAUUCCUGGUGUAAGGGUGGAAUCUGUUGAUAUCAGGAAGAAUACCAGAGGCGAAGGCGAACUUCUAGGUCAAGACUGACGCUGAGUCACGAAAGCGUAGGGAGCAAACAGGAUUAGAUACCCUGGUAGUCUACGCUGUAAACGAUGCACACUUGGUGUUAAUCGAAAGGUUAGUACCGAAGCUAACGUGUUAAGUGUGCCGCCUGGGGAGUAUGUUCGCAAGAAUGAAACUCAAAGGAAUUGACGGGGGCCCGCACAAGCGGUGGAGCAUGUGGUUUAAUUCGAUGAUACGCGAGGAACCUUACCAGGGCUUGACAUAUACAGGAUAUAGUUAGAGAUAACUAUUCCCCGUUUGGGGUCUGUAUACAGGUGCUGCAUGGUUGUCGUCAGCUCGUGCCGUGAGGUGUUGGGUUAAGUCCCGCAACGAGCGCAACCCUUGUUGUCUGUUACCAGCAUGUAAAGAUGGGGACUCAGACGAGACUGCCGGUGAUAAGCCGGAGGAAGGUGAGGAUGACGUCAAAUCAUCAUGGCCCUUAUGUCCUGGGCUACACACGUGCUACAAUGGCCUGUACAAAGCGAUGCGAAACAGUGAUGUGAAGCAAAACGCAGAAAGCAGGUCUCAGUCCAGAUUGAAGUCUGAAACUCGGCUUCAUGAAGUUGGAAUCGCUAGUAAUCGUAUAUCAGAAUGAUACGGUGAAUACGUUCUCGGGCCUUGUACACACCGCCCGUCACACCACCCGAGUUGAAGAUACCCGAAGCUAUUAUUCUAACCCGCAAGGGAGGAAGGUAUCUAAGGUAUGUUUAGUGAGGGGGGUGAAGUCGUAACAAGGUAGCCGUACUGGAAAGUGUGGCUGGAUCACCUCCUUUCUA